GGUCUGGCGGCGUGCUAUACAUGCAAGUCGAGCGAACAGACGAGGAGCUUGCUCCUCUGACGUUAGCGGCGGACGGGUGAGUAACACGUGGAUAACCUACCUAUAAGACUGGGAUAACUUCGGGAAACCGGAGCUAAUACCGGAUAAUAUAUUGAACCGCAUGGUUCAAUAGUGAAAGACGGUUUUGCUGUCACUUAUAGAUGGAUCCGCGCCGCAUUAGCUAGUUGGUAAGGUAACGGCUUACCAAGGCAACGAUGCGUAGCCGACCUGAGAGGGUGAUCGGCCACACUGGAACUGAGACACGGUCCAGACUCCUACGGGAGGCAGCAGUAGGGAAUCUUCCGCAAUGGGCGAAAGCCUGACGGAGCAACGCCGCGUGAGUGAUGAAGGUCUUCGGAUCGUAAAACUCUGUUAUUAGGGAAGAACAAAUGUGUAAGUAACUAUGCACGUCUUGACGGUACCUAAUCAGAAAGCCACGGCUAACUACGUGCCAGCAGCCGCGGUAAUACGUAGGUGGCAAGCGUUAUCCGGAAUUAUUGGGCGUAAAGCGCGCGUAGGCGGUUUUUUAAGUCUGAUGUGAAAGCCCACGGCUCAACCGUGGAGGGUCAUUGGAAACUGGAAAACUUGAGUGCAGAAGAGGAAAGUGGAAUUCCAUGUGUAGCGGUGAAAUGCGCAGAGAUAUGGAGGAACACCAGUGGCGAAGGCGACUUUCUGGUCUGUAACUGACGCUGAUGUGCGAAAGCGUGGGGAUCAAACAGGAUUAGAUACCCUGGUAGUCCACGCCGUAAACGAUGAGUGCUAAGUGUUAGGGGGUUUCCGCCCCUUAGUGCUGCAGCUAACGCAUUAAGCACUCCGCCUGGGGAGUACGACCGCAAGGUUGAAACUCAAAGGAAUUGACGGGACCCGCACAAGCGGUGGAGCAUGUGGUUUAAUUCGAAGCAACGCGAAGAACCUUACCAAAUCUUGACAUCCUCUGACCCCUCUAGAGAUAGAGUUUUCCCCUUCGGGGGACAGAGUGACAGGUGGUGCAUGGUUGUCGUCAGCUCGUGUCGUGAGAUGUUGGGUUAAGUCCCGCAACGAGCGCAACCCUUAAGCUUAGUUGCCAUCAUUAAGUUGGGCACUCUAAGUUGACUGCCGGUGACAAACCGGAGGAAGGUGGGGAUGACGUCAAAUCAUCAUGCCCCUUAUGAUUUGGGCUACA
This 1201-nucleotide ribosomal RNA is filed under the name Staphylococcus epidermidis. Its description in RNAcentral is "bacterial SSU rRNA". It matches the Rfam family "Bacterial small subunit ribosomal RNA", at positions 35 to 1218 of the family's 1533-position model. The record is from RNAcentral. Lineage: Bacteria; Bacillati; Bacillota; Bacilli; Caryophanales; Staphylococcaceae.